This 4029-nucleotide long non-coding RNA is filed under the name Marmota monax (woodchuck). Lineage: Eukaryota; Metazoa; Chordata; Mammalia; Rodentia; Sciuridae. The record is from RNAcentral.
AUCCAUAGUGUUCAGCAAACAUUUAUUAAAUGUUUUAGUCAGUUUUUUUGUGUGUGUCACUGUGACCAAAAGACCUGACAAGAACAAUGUAGAGGAGGAAAAGUUUAUUAGGCUCCCAGUUUCAGAGGUCUCAGUCCAUGGUCAGCUGACUCCAUACCUCUGGACCUGAAGUGAGUUAGAACGUCAUGGCUGAAAGGUGUGGUGGAGGAAGGAAGUUCAGGACUUGGCAACCAGGAAACAAAGAGAGAGACCUCCCUCCUCCAGCCACACCCUACCUACCUACAGUAACCACCCUAUUAAUCCAUAUGAGUGGAUUAAUCCACUGAUUAGUUUAUACCUGUCAUAAUCUAAUCAUUUCACCUCUGAAAAUUUUCUUUGUCUCACACCUGAGCUUUUGGGAGACACCUCACAUCUAAACCAUAACACUAAACCCUAUCUGACUCUGGCAAGCGAAGGAAAUUUCAAGAAAGUCUGUAUCUCCUUAAGGUUUGCUUUUUAAGGUAGAGGGGACUCCUCCACCAAGUUCUGUGGAUUACAAUACUGUCCUUCAGUUCCAAGCUCACUCUUCUAUGCUCUGCUUUGUGUUGCUGAGCUGCGAUUCUCAAAACAAAAUCUUUCCUUCAGUAGCUGGUUUUCCACUAGGUGUGUCCAUAGCGGGGCUUCCAGACAGAGAAGGAGAAAUAGGAGGGAAGAAGGAGCUUCCUUUCAGUUUGUUUCUGUCCGUGUCACCUCAGUAAUGGGUUUGCAAUGGUUAGUUUUAGUCUUCAUAUUUCUUAAGUCCCCCAAGAGCCAUCUCAUGAAGCCCCCCAAUGGCAGCAGCAGCUGCCGCAUAGCAGACCCCUCUGAGAGGCCUGACUUCCCAGCUAAUUCCUCCCAGGUUAGCCUGCCCUCCCCGGGAGCAGGCUGAGAGCUGGCCCUAAUCAGACAGCUCUAGAGGCCAAAAUUUCCCAUUGGCCGGGAAGCCUGGGGUUCAAGGUGUUCAGUUUCUUGGGAAUCUACCAGAAUCCCAGAGUUCCCCUCUGUCAAACCAUGUUUUCACAUAAGGUUCGACCUACAUUGUAAUUCGGUGACCCUCUUUUUGUGAGACUGGCCUUAUGGCUAUAGAAAUGUGAAGGGUCAUUUUAGGGCUGCCAUAGAAUAUCUCUGAUUCUCUGGGGCUUGGAUUUGAACUGGUUUUAUCCUUUCUGCAACUGCACAGCUGGCUAAGGCCACCCCCUCCAAGGCUUUGUGUGAAUACAGUGUAACCUAGGGAUGGUAAAAAUUCAUGCCUGUUGUCCUUUUCCCUUUCAAUGCAUAUAUGAAAUUUCCAACGUCCCCUAAGCCCCCUGUCUCAGUAGACAUUUCCUCCCUGGUGAUCACUAUGACGGCUGAAUUUUGCUAUGUCUUUGCAUGCAGUGGGGCACUAGGGUAGUGUUUGCCACUGACUGAGGACUGAGCCCAGUACACAAGGUCAAGGGCAUAAUCAAAUCCAUCCCUGAAACCAACCCCAAAGGGGCUUUCCCAGUACCCGGCACUGUUAUCAGAGUUCAGUCCGAAAAAUGGAAACUGCACAAGGAAUUCAGCAGAGGGAAUUGAUACAGGGAGUUGAGUGUCGGAGGGCUGAAUGAGCUUAGGGGAAACCGAGGUAACAGCAGGAAGCACACCACCUCCAAACCUGGAGGACCCCAAGGUGAGAAGCUGAGAUUAUCAAACCCUAGAAGGACAGGAGGGGGCCUGGGGGGUGGAGCUCAGACCCCAUGUCUGUGGUGGUUCCCAGACUUUCCUGAUGUUUGGCGAUCUUGACAAUUUGGGGGAGGAUCAGUCAACUCUUUUGCAGGAUGCCCCCCUACUGGAAUUUGUCCCCCCACUGCACUGGGACUGUGGGCUUGGGAAGAAUGAUCCCAUCACAGGGGAGAAUCCUCAGCCUGCUGUUGACCUCAGUCCCCUGGCUGAGGCAGUGUCUGUCAGGUUUCUCCAUCGGAGUUACUCCUUCCCUCCCUCCCUGUUUCCCUACUGUCCUCUGGGGAGCAGGUCACCGUGGUGGUGUGCUUCAGAAGUGGGGAGUUCAUUCACUAUGCCUUCUUGAGGGUGGGGGGACCCACGUAAAUUAUUUGGGAUUCUUUCUGUGCCCCCCCCCACUCAUCCAUUGACCUAGUUAGUCAUUUAUAUCAAUAUGGACUCAUGGAUAUUUAUUGUGUGCUUUGGGUUAUAAUCCAGUACUACCUCAUUGAUUUUGUUGCUCAUAUUUUUCCAGCUUUGUCCGGUGGGAGCUCUUUCAGUUGGCUCCUGUGUCUGUCUGACACACCCUAAAUAAAUAUAGGGUGUGUGUGUGUGUGUGUGUGUGUGUCCGCGCGCGCGUGCGCAUGCAUUUGAGCAUUUCUUUACUUUGGGGAACUAAAAGCAACUCUAGGCUCAUUUGGUGUAUUUGCUGUCCCAGUCCUAGAAUUGGCCAUUUCUCUAGGAAGCAGCAGGGUUGUCUUAGAAUCUGGACUCCCGGACGGACGCGUUGACCCAGCGUGCUGCUUUGGACACAAAUAGCCCAGGAAGGACUGUUGGGCUAAACAUAUGGUAUUUAUAAAGUCCUUGGAAUCUGCACAUUCUUAACACAGGCCAGAGGACACCAGCUAACAGAACUAUCCAGAAUGAGUGGCCAUGGGGAAAGAAGAAAUUUUGGGGAGAAAAGAGGCCUAUUUCAGCAGAGGGAAACCUCCCUAAUGACCAAGAUCCUGGGCUUGAACAUGGCCAUAGGAAAUCCUUCUAUUUCAGAUCUUUUAUGUUAUUUCCAAAGUAGUCAUAUACUGACAGGUUUGAAAGAAUUUAUUCAAAAUACAGCUUUAUACCUGUGUCCCAUCACUUAAGUGCCCUAUGAAUGAUCACUUUGUAUGAGCCCUGUGAUUAGCUUGAAGCUAGAACAAUUAUAUUGCAUUAACUCUUUUGUGUUAAAACAUCAACUUGUUAAUGAUAAACAUUUCAAUGAACUACAAUUUUUAUAACUUAACCUAUAUUGGCAUUUCUUCAUUUUGAAAUUACCCAGGGACUCAGAAAACGGAGGUAAUCCAAACCUCUCUAGGACACAGAGGCCCUUGUAUAUGGAUUUUUCUCUGCUUCUGACAGAAUCGGUUUGCUUACAUCUGUGCAGACGAGAACACAAUUACUGUAAAGUAGGGGAACCCACGUCGGCUUUGGACGCUUGUGUUUGUUCUGCAAAGGGCAGCAUCGCGUAUCUUAGGCGGUAUCUUGAAAGCUUCGCUGUCUCAGAAGCCUGCUUGCAUUAAACAUGAGAAACGGGUAAGUGUGAUUGCCACAGGGAUUCGCAGGCAGCUCCUCGCAGCAGGAUGAGCUCAGCUUGCUGGGCUGAGAAGGGCCUUGGCCAGGCGAGGCCCUGCCGCACUGGGCCAAAGCUGGUGUGGAUUUGGACUGCAGGUGAAUCUGAUCUUGUGCUUUCCAUUCCUUGACUGAUUGAUUGCUUUUUCUCCUUAACAUCCCAUGAGGAGUCCUUGGCGUGCUGUGAGGACAUGCUCUGCUGCGUGAGGGAAGAGAAAACCUCUCCUGGAAGGAAGAAGAGAAACAGAAAGCUAGGAUGGGGGAGAAACAAGAAAGGAGAAACAUGAAAAGAUCUGGAAGGAAGAAGGGGAGUCAAAAACAGGCUGAAGAAGGAUCAGAGGAGACCCAGCCCCCCAUUCUCCCUGCUGAUCGGAUCUUUGCCUCCCAAACUUCCACAUCCUGCAGGCUUCUGCCCAGUUGCUGGGCCCUGCCUCCUCUCCCCCUCUCUCCCCACUGCAUCCCUCUGCAUCCCCACCCAACUCCACCCUUUCUUCGGGAAGAACAUAGGGUCCCCCAGGAGCUCCAUGGACUUGGAACACAGGUCCAUCUCAUUGCAGGCCCCACUCUGACCUUCGGCACUGGACUUAGUAAUUAAGAAUUUGAGGGCUGGGGCUGGGGCUGGGGUUCAGUGGCAGAGCACUUUCCUGGCAUGUGUGAGGCCCUGGGUUGGAUCCUCAGCACCACAUAAAAAUAAAAUAAAUGAAAUAAAGGUAUUAUGAACAUCUA